This 20-nucleotide transfer RNA is filed under the name Odontites litoralis. Its description in RNAcentral is "partial tRNA-Phe". Lineage: Eukaryota; Viridiplantae; Streptophyta; Magnoliopsida; Lamiales; Orobanchaceae. The record is from RNAcentral.
ACCAGAUGAGCUAUCCCGAC